Molecule: ribosomal RNA, 343 nt
Filed under: Oreophoetes topoense
Lineage: Eukaryota; Metazoa; Arthropoda; Insecta; Phasmatodea; Diapheromeridae
Description: partial 12S ribosomal RNA
Source: RNAcentral
UAGUAAUAGCUAUGUUCUUAAAACCUAAAGAAUUUGGCGGUGUUUUAGUUUAUUUAGAGGAAUUUGCCUUAUUAUCGAUAGUCCUCGUUUUAUCUUUCUUAUAUUUGUAUUCAGUAUGUAUACCGCCGUUAUAAGUUUAUUUUUUUAGGACUAAUAUUUACUUUAAUAUAUUUUUAUUUAUUUCAGGUCAAGGUGCAGUUUAUAUAUAAGUAUUGGUGAAUUACAUUAUAUUUUUAAUAUACGGAUUUGAUCUUGAAAUUAAAGUUCAUUAAAGGUGGAUUUAAUAGUAAUUAUAUUAAUAAAGUUAUUUUGAUUUUAACUCUAGAAUAAGUACACAUCGCCC